This 89-nucleotide transfer RNA is filed under the name Actinomadura cremea. RNAcentral's name for it is "tRNA-Glu". Lineage: Bacteria; Bacillati; Actinomycetota; Actinomycetes; Streptosporangiales; Thermomonosporaceae. The record is from RNAcentral.
CGGGGCCGGGCGCCCGGCGGCGCCGGUUCGGCCUCGGCGAGCUGGGGCGCGGCCGCGUCCAGGUGGAGUUCAAGUCUCCGCCGCCCGGA